CGGUGGAUGCCCUGGCAGUCAGAGGCGAUGAAGGACGUGCUAAUCUGCGAUAAGCGUCGGUAAGGUGAUAUGAACCGUUAUAACCGGCGAUUUCCGAAUGGGGAAACCCAGUGUGUUUCGACACACUAUCAUUAACUGAAUCCAUAGGUUAAUGAGGCGAACCGGGGGAACUGAAACAUCUAAGUACCCCGAGGAAAAGAAAUCAACCGAGAUUCCCCCAGUAGCGGCGAGCGAACGGGGAGCAGCCCAGAGCCUGAAUCAGUGUGUGUGUUAGUGGAAGCGUCUGGAAAGGCGCGCGAUACAGGGUGACAGCCCCGUACACAAAAAUGCACAUGCUGUGAGCUCGAUGAGUAGGGCGGGACACGUGGUAUCCUGUCUGAAUAUGGGGGGACCAUCCUCCAAGGCUAAAUACUCCUGACUGACCGAUAGUGAACCAGUACCGUGAGGGAAAGGCGAAAAGAACCCCGGCGAGGGGAGUGAAAAAGAACCUGAAACCGUGUACGUACAAGCAGUGGGAGCACGCUUCGGCGUGUGACUGCGUACCUUUUGUAUAAUGGGUCAGCGACUUAUAUUCUGUAGCAAGGUUAACCGAAUAGGGGAGCCGAAGGGAAACCGAGUCUUAACUGGGCGUUAAGUUGCAGGGUAUAGACCCGAAACCCGGUGAUCUAGCCAUGGGCAGGUUGAAGGUUGGGUAACACUAACUGGAGGACCGAACCGACUAAUGUUGAAAAAUUAGCGGAUGACUUGUGGCUGGGGGUGAAAGGCCAAUCAAACCGGGAGAUAGCUGGUUCUCCCCGAAAGCUAUUUAGGUAGCGCCUCGUGAAUUCAUCUCCGGGGGUAGAGCACUGUUUCGGCAAGGGGGUCAUCCCGACUUACCAACCCGAUGCAAACUGCGAAUACCGGAGAAUGUUAUCACGGGAGACACACGGCGGGUGCUAACGUCCGUCGUGAAGAGGGAAACAACCCAGACCGCCAGCUAAGGUCCCAAAGUCAUGGUUAAGUGGGAAACGAUGUGGGAAGGCCCAGACAGCCAGGAUGUUGGCUUAGAAGCAGCCAUCAUUUAAAGAAAGCGUAAUAGCUCACUGGUCGAGUCGGCCUGCGCGGAAGAUGUAACGGGGCUAAACCAUGCACCGAAGCUGCGGCAGCGACGCUUAUGCGUUGUUGGGUAGGGGAGCGUUCUGUAAGCCUGUGAAGGUGUGCUGUGAGGCAUGCUGGAGGUAUCAGAAGUGCGAAUGCUGACAUAAGUAACGAUAAAGCGGGUGAAAAGCCCGCUCGCCGGAAGACCAAGGGUUCCUGUCCAACGUUAAUCGGGGCAGGGUGAGUCGACCCCUAAGGCGAGGCCGAAAGGCGUAGUCGAUGGGAAACAGGUUAAUAUUCCUGUACUUGGUGUUACUGCGAAGGGGGGACGGAGAAGGCUAUGUUGGCCGGGCGACGGUUGUCCCGGUUUAAGCGUGUAGGCUGGUUUUCCAGGUAAAUCCGGAAAAUCAAGGCUGAGGCGUGAUGACGAGGCACUACGGUGCUGAAGCAACAAAUGCCCUGCUUCCAGGAAAAGCCUCUAAGCAUCAGGUAACAUCAAAUCGUACCCCAAACCGACACAGGUGGUCAGGUAGAGAAUACCAAGGCGCUUGAGAGAACUCGGGUGAAGGAACUAGGCAAAAUGGUGCCGUAACUUCGGGAGAAGGCACGCUGAUAUGUAGGUGAGGUCCCUCGCGGAUGGAGCUGAAAUCAGUCGAAGAUACCAGCUGGCUGCAACUGUUUAUUAAAAACACAGCACUGUGCAAACACGAAAGUGGACGUAUACGGUGUGACGCCUGCCCGGUGCCGGAAGGUUAAUUGAUGGGGUUAGCGGUAACGCGAAGCUCUUGAUCGAAGCCCCGGUAAACGGCGGCCGUAACUAUAACGGUCCUAAGGUAGCGAAAUUCCUUGUCGGGUAAGUUCCGACCUGCACGAAUGGCGUAAUGAUGGCCAGGCUGUCUCCACCCGAGACUCAGUGAAAUUGAACUCGCUGUGAAGAUGCAGUGUACCCGCGGCAAGACGGAAAGACCCCGUGAACCUUUACUAUAGCUUGACACUGAACAUUGAGCCUUGAUGUGUAGGAUAGGUGGGAGGCUUUGAAGUGUGGACGCCAGUCUGCAUGGAGCCGACCUUGAAAUACCACCCUUUAAUGUUUGAUGUUCUAACGUUGACCCGUAAUCCGGGUUGCGGACAGUGUCUGGUGGGUAGUUUGACUGGGGCGGUCUCCUCCUAAAGAGUAACGGAGGAGCACGAAGGUUGGCUAAUCCUGGUCGGACAUCAGGAGGUUAGUGCAAUGGCAUAAGCCAGCUUGACUGCGAGCGUGACGGCGCGAGCAGGUGCGAAAGCAGGUCAUAGUGAUCCGGUGGUUCUGAAUGGAAGGGCCAUCGCUCAACGGAUAAAAGGUACUCCGGGGAUAACAGGCUGAUACCGCCCAAGAGUUCAUAUCGACGGCGGUGUUUGGCACCUCGAUGUCGGCUCAUCACAUCCUGGGGCUGAAGUAGGUCCCAAGGGUAUGGCUGUUCGCCAUUUAAAGUGGUACGCGAGCUGGGUUUAGAACGUCGUGAGACAGUUCGGUCCCUAUCUGCCGUGGGCGCUGGAGAACUGAGGGGGGCUGCUCCUAGUACGAGAGGACCGGAGUGGACGCAUCACUGGUGUUCGGGUUGUCAUGCCAAUGGCACUGCCCGGUAGCUAAAUGCGGAAGAGAUAAGUGCUGAAAGCAUCUAAGCACGAAACUUGCCCCGAGAUGAGUUCUCCCUGACUCCUUGAGAGUCCUGAAGGAACGUUGAAGACGACGACGUUGAUAGGCCGGGUGUGUAAGCGCAGCGAUGCGUUGAGCUAACCGGUACUAAUGAACCGUGAGGCUUAACCUU
This 2885-nucleotide ribosomal RNA is filed under the name Escherichia coli. Its description in RNAcentral is "partial 23S ribosomal RNA". It matches the Rfam family "Bacterial large subunit ribosomal RNA". The record is from RNAcentral. Lineage: Bacteria; Pseudomonadati; Pseudomonadota; Gammaproteobacteria; Enterobacterales; Enterobacteriaceae.